UGAGUAAUCUGCCCUUCACUCAGGGAUAACUUCCAGAAAUGGGUGCUAAUACCUGAUAUGACUCACCGGCGCAUGUUGGUGGGUGGAAAGUUUUUUCGGUGGGGAUGUGCUCGCGGCCUAUCAGCUUGUUGGUGGGGUAAUGGCCUACCAAGGCUUUGACGGGUAGCCGGCCUGAGAGGGUGACCGGCCACACUGGGACUGAGACACAGCCCAGACUCCUACGGGA
Molecule: ribosomal RNA, 226 nt
Filed under: uncultured bacterium
Lineage: Bacteria
Description: partial 16S ribosomal RNA
Rfam family: Bacterial small subunit ribosomal RNA
Source: RNAcentral